This 61-nucleotide small nuclear RNA is filed under the name Otolemur garnettii (small-eared galago). RNAcentral describes it as "U7 small nuclear RNA". It matches the Rfam family "U7 small nuclear RNA". Rfam says of the family: Animal histone pre-mRNAs are spliced by a different mechanism than nuclear pre-mRNAs and self-splicing introns. This processing involves the U7 snRNP, which contains only one RNA species: U7. Lineage: Eukaryota; Metazoa; Chordata; Mammalia; Primates; Galagidae. The record is from Rfam by way of RNAcentral.
UAGUGUUAUAGCUCUUUUAGAAUUUAUCUAGCAUGUUUUCCACUUUCCCCUGGAAGACCCC